CCCUUAGAUGUUCUGGGCCGCACGCGUGCUACACUGAGUAAAUCAAUGGGUAAGGGAACACGAAGUGCAACCUAAUCUUGAAAUUUGCUCGUGAUGGGGAUCGACGGUUGCAAUUUUCCGUCGUGAACGAGGAAUACCUUGUAGGCGCGUGUCAUCAUCACGCGCCGAAUACGUCCCUGCCCUUUGUACACACCGCCCGUCGCUCCUACCGAUUGAGUGAUCCGGUGAGGCUCUGGGACCUGGACGGAAAGAGCGUUUCGCUUGUUCUGUUUGGGAAACUUGGUCGAACCUUAUCAUUUAGAGGAAGGAGAAGUCGUAACA
This 321-nucleotide ribosomal RNA is filed under the name uncultured eukaryote. Its description in RNAcentral is "partial 18S ribosomal RNA". It matches the Rfam family "Eukaryotic small subunit ribosomal RNA", at positions 1470 to 1796 of the family's 1831-position model. The record is from RNAcentral.